CCUACGGGAGGCAGCAGUGAGGAAUAUUGGUCAAUGGACGAGAGUCUGAACCAGCCAAGUCGCGUGAAGGAUGACUGCCCUGUGGGUUGUAAACUUCUUUUAUAUGGGAAUAAAGUGUUCCACGUGUGGCAUUUUGUAUGUACCAUAUGAAUAAGGAUCGGCUAACUCCGUGCCAGCAGCCGCGGUAAUACGGAGGAUCCGAGCGUUAUCCGGAUUUAUUGGGUUUAAAGGGAGCGUAGGUGGAUUGUUAAGUCAGUUGUGAAAGUUUGCGGCUCAACCGUAAAAUUGCAGUUGAAACUGGCAGUCUUGAGUAGAGGAGAGGUGGGCGGAAUGCGUGGUGUAGCGGUGAAAUGCUGAGAUAUCACGAAGAACUCCGAUUGCGAAGGCAGUUCACUGGACUGAAACUGACACUGAGGCUCGAAAGUGUGGGUAUCAAACAGGAUUAGAUACCCUAGUAGUC
This 460-nucleotide ribosomal RNA is filed under the name uncultured bacterium. RNAcentral's name for it is "partial 16S ribosomal RNA". It matches the Rfam family "Bacterial small subunit ribosomal RNA", at positions 338 to 795 of the family's 1533-position model. The record is from RNAcentral.